Accipiter nisus (Eurasian sparrowhawk) is the source of this 1614-nucleotide long non-coding RNA. NCBI's taxonomy places the organism in Eukaryota, Metazoa, Chordata, Aves, Accipitriformes, Accipitridae. The record is from Ensembl.
CGGCGCUGGCUCCGGCCGAGCCCGGGGAGGGGACGGGGACGGGGAACGGUGCGGCCGGCGCUCGUCCCCUCACCCGGUACUACCGCCACUUCCGGCUUCCGGCCACCCCGCCACGCUAUACGCAGCCGCGCCGGGGUGGGGCGGGGCGUACGCGCGGCGCCGCCGCCGCCUUCCGGUCACGGGACCGGGGCGGGAGCGCGGUGGCGGUUGGUCGCCUCAGGGCGGGUUAUGGCCGCCUCAGGCUGAGGGGCUGUGCUCUCCGCUUCUUUCCCUGUCCUUCCCUCAGCCGGCUCUGUCAGCUAGCACCGGGGAAGGGCCGGGCUGGGUUGUGCAGCCUCUGGGCCGGACGGGCAGGCCGCUUGCUUGGCGGGGGCGGGGGCGGGGGGGAGGCCCGGGCUCGGCCGCCUGAGGGGUGAUGUGGAAGAGCCCCUGUCAGCAGUAGGCCCAGCAGUGGAGAGCACAAACGCCAAGCACACAUGCCGUGGGGUUGGAAGAUAACGGAUGGGAAAGCGGUAGGACGGUGGCGUGAGGGGUUUGCUUUGGCUUUGGUGGCUGCGCGGCCCCAGCCUGGAAGCGCCGGCAGGUAGAAGUGAUUUCCUGCGGCAGCAGUGUUGGCUCUUCUCUAUCAAUUUACAAAGAGAGUAAGAACAGUAAAUUUUGCUUUGUAAUAUUUGAGGGCCGCUUAGUGGGUAUCUAGAGCAACUAUAGGAACUCGAGUGAGUUACUAGUGCAUUUCAGAGAGUGAGAUGUUAGCAAUCGUUAAGGAAACAAAGGAUGUUAGUAACUUUUUGAGGACAGAUACUGAUAUAAAAGGUUGUAGAUCUGAGGUGGAGAGAACUGUUGUAUAACUUUGAACUGGUUACACGUGCAUCUGCUUGAUAAUUCAUACUAUAGGAGUGUCAGAGCGAGCACGCCAAGCCACAGCAGUACCCACGUCUGGCUGCUGGUGGGUGGACGGAGAGCAGUGUAAGGACAGGGCAAGCAGAGGGUGACAUUUUCCCGGGGGACUCUCCAAGCAUCCAGAAAUUGGUGAUCAUCCCUGAUGCCAGGAAUAGGACGACAGCCAGCCCCCGAGAGCACCGCACGUGGAAGGCGGCGGGGGACCCUCCUUGCGAGACUUCUCGCUGCUGCUGUCUGGAAAGCUGUAAUACCAUCACAGGUGUGGAAGGGAAAUGGCCCAGCUUUGGCAAGUUUCCCCACAACAUAAAUGCCUUGUACGUAACAUACCGAAACAAAAUACCUGUGCUGUGCAGCUGGGUUGCCUUUGGGCUUUUCCAGUUCAACUCCAUUUUAGUAACUCUUCAGCUGGCCAGAAGGUGUAUUUUGGGGGCAGAAUGAGACGUCACUUAGGUUAAGUCAGUGCUAAGACCCUCCAGCCUGUCUCAUCUAGAAAAAAGGAACAGUGAUAAUUUUGGCAUUUGAGUCACUGUUAUUUGGCAUCUGAAUGACCUUCUCUUUGAGAUGAAUAAAGCUGUUGACUAAUCUCUGAACUAUCGGUACAGAACUUUUGCCUCUCUAAAAUGAGGAGUUUGCUGUAUCCUGUGUUUUUGAAAUAUGAAAAUGCAGUUGUUGUUUUUUUCCAGCCAAUAAAAUUGUAAACAAAAGGGUUUACCU